RNAcentral lists this long non-coding RNA (1761 nucleotides) under Chlamydomonas reinhardtii. Its description in RNAcentral is "long non-coding RNA (CREI_LNC000001)". The record is from RNAcentral. Lineage: Eukaryota; Viridiplantae; Chlorophyta; Chlorophyceae; Chlamydomonadales; Chlamydomonadaceae.
AAACACCCCCAAACUGCCUACAGUUUUAAUGGUCCCGUAGUGUUACAUACUGUCAACCAUAUCCCUUACUAUGGAGCUUCUAACUCGCUCAGUUCAGGGACUGAACCAAGAGAGGGGAGCUGCCAGAAGCCUUGCUGGAAAAUGCGAGCAAAUACCAAUACUGCAACAACUCUACUGUAUAUGUAAACACCUACCGCUACGCAGUACUCCGGCUUGCCCCUCCCCCCUCACGGCGCUCCAUGCCGUGCGCCCCGGAAUGCGGUGUGGGGAUGGGGUGGGAUAGGAUGGACUGGCGGAUGGUGGAAGUAUCAUAUAGGUCUGCUGGGGGCUGCGAGCAGCCAUACUACCGGUCAUGAUAUUGCCUUCGGUAGCUCAGGGCGCCGCGGGCUGGGGGUGGGUAAGUGAGCGGGGAUGGGGGCUCGGACUCAGCGGGGGCACGGACUCAGGGCGUGGAAGCCAGCGAGAAGCGGGCGAGAGUAACGCCGAUGUGCCGGGUGAUGUGCGAGCAGAAUACAGAACGCGGCAUUCGUCAUUACGGGGAAACUAAAACAGAUAGCGCCAACCUUUUGCGCCUCGCGCUUUCGCGCGCAAUUUCCAGGAUCCUCCAACGCGUCGAUUCCUCCGUCUUGCGUCCUUCCGUGCCGGGAGCCUUGAUUAUCGAUACAAUUUGUGAUAUAUUGUAUGUUGCGCUGGAGCUCUAAUGCAAACGCUACGCUUGUGCGUUUACCCCGCUCUGGCAUAGGGCUUGCGUUUUCAUAAUGUUACGCUUUGCAAUACAUACAUAGAAAGGCGCAUUAUUUGCACGACAAAUUUCGCUGCGCUCGGGUUUCAAGGUUAUAACUCAAGUCAAAACUGGAAUAACCGGGAGGGCCCCCCGCGGCGAGCUCGAUGCGACCGCAAUGGCUAUUGCCCCUCCCCCUUCGGGGGAAGGGGCAAGCCAACAUUCAGGCAAGCAAUCCCGCCCCAACUGCUGGGUUGUCAGUUGCCGCUGUCCACCGCCAUCGGUCGCCCCGCCAUCCACCCACCAUCCUGUGAAUCCCCCCGACCGUCCUGUGAUCUCCUAGGCUCCUUUCUGAGGGGAAAUCCCAUCUGAUGUCGGGAAACUAGGUUGUGGAUUCUUCCCCCGCGCGCAAUUUUCAAUGGCGUCGGACCGCAUCUGAGUUGCCGCGCGGGGGCCCCGGCCGCAUCUGACACGGCCCCCCGGCCCAAUCUUAGUUGUCGGCACAGGCCGCCGCCCCAAACUUGGACCCCCGCCAACCACAACUAAGUUGCUGCCACAGCCCGGUUUCCGCAACCGUACGACCAGACUCAAUCCACAACUUUCCGGAUUUCCCAGUGCGACCGGGAUGAGCCAUGCAGCGAUCGCGCUGUCGUUACUUCCUCGGCCGCCCGGCCCCCUUGCUCAUUUAUUUAACCGCAUCCGUCACGUCCCCGUACUUAGUGUUCUUCGUUUAGUCCCCCCGCGCAGCGCACAGCCAUAACAGCCACAGCCUGCAGCCCAGCUUGCGCACCAUGUCCUCGCGGUUGCUUUGGGGUUGACGUUGCUUGCCUCGCGCCUAGCGCCAUAGCUUCUACGCUGCAGUGCAUCACGCCUCCUGUCCCUCCCUCCCUCCCUUACAUGUCGUGCUGGGCACCGGUGGCGCUGGUGUUCUCCAGGUUGGUUUCGGGCGCAUCCUUUCUGGUAGUCCCAACGCCAGCCCGGCCGGCGUCGUCCAGCCCAGCCAUCCCAAUACAGCAGCCACCUUCCGUCAGCCAGCCAUG